AUUGAACGCUGGCGGCAGGCUUAACACAUGCAAGUCGAGCGGGGUGAUGGUGCUUGCACUAUCACUUAGCGGCGGACGGGUGAGUAAUGCUUAGGAAUCUGCCUAUUAGUGGGGGACAACAUCUCGAAAGGGAUGCUAAUACCGCAUACGUCCUACGGGAGAAAGCAGGGGAUCACUUGUGACCUUGCGCUAAUAGAUGAGCCUAAGUCGGAUUAGCUAGUUGGUGGGGUAAAGGCCUACCAAGGCGACGAUCUGUAGCGGGUCUGAGAGGAUGAUCCGCCACACUGGGACUGAGACACGGCCCAGACUCCUACGGGAGGCAGCAGUGGGGAAUAUUGGACAAUGGGGGGAACCCUGAUCCAGCCAUGCCGCGUGUGUGAAGAAGGCCUUAUGGUCGUAAAGCGCUUUAAGCGAGGAGGAGGCUCUUUUGGUUAAUACCCAAGAUGAGUGGACGUUACUCGCAGAAUAAGCACCGGCUAACUCUGUGCCAGCAGCCGCCGUAA
This 503-nucleotide ribosomal RNA is filed under the name uncultured bacterium. RNAcentral's name for it is "partial 16S ribosomal RNA". It matches the Rfam family "Bacterial small subunit ribosomal RNA", at positions 30 to 523 of the family's 1533-position model. The record is from RNAcentral.